UUCCUUUCUAGAGGAAAUUAAGACAGAACGU
RNAcentral lists this non-coding RNA (31 nucleotides) under Rattus norvegicus (Norway rat). The record is from RNAcentral. Lineage: Eukaryota; Metazoa; Chordata; Mammalia; Rodentia; Muridae.